GUGGGGAAUAUUGGACAAUGGGCGCAAGCCUGAUCCAGCCAUGCCGCGUGAGUGAUGAAGGCCUUAGGGUUGAAAAGCUCUUUUGUCCGGGAAGAUAAUGACUGUACCGGAAGAAUAAGCCCCGGCUAACUUCGUGCCAGCAGCCGCGGUAAUACGAAGGGGGCUAGCGUUGUUCGGAAUCACUGGGCGUAAAGCGCACGUAGGCGGACCAUUAAGUCAGGGGUGAAAGCCUGGAGCUCAACUCCAGAACUGCCUUUGAUACUGAUGGUCUCGAGUUCGGAAGAGGUUGGUGGAACUGCGAGUGUAGAGGUGAAAUUCGUAGAUAUUCGCAAGAACACCAGUGGCGAAGGCGGCCAACUGGUCCGAUACUGACGCUGAGGUGCGAAAGCGUGGGGAGCAAACAGGAUUAGAUACCCUUGUAGUCC
Molecule: ribosomal RNA, 425 nt
Filed under: uncultured bacterium
Lineage: Bacteria
Description: bacterial SSU rRNA
Rfam family: Bacterial small subunit ribosomal RNA
Source: RNAcentral